Molecule: long non-coding RNA, 240 nt
Filed under: Capsicum annuum
Lineage: Eukaryota; Viridiplantae; Streptophyta; Magnoliopsida; Solanales; Solanaceae
Description: long non-coding RNA (CANN_LNC004638)
Source: RNAcentral
UCUUCAAAUUCCAAAACCAUCUAGUUAUACCUAUUAGACAUACGAAAUAGCGGAGCAAGCACAAAAGAUACAAACAAGUAUACCAUGACAUGAUUUCAAACACAAAAACAAUGAUACAAAGGUAUAUCAAACAUACACAAAAACCAAAUAGUUUCUACAGGCAUGUUUUCCAAUAUCAUAAAGUCAUCAUAUAAGAUAGGAAAAUUACGUCGACAAAAACUUACCAAUAAGUCGGAGGGG